CAGUCCAGUUUAACAACCCUUAGCUUUUGUCUAAACUUCAAAGCAGCUUCCUAAAGUGCUGCAUUCCUGUGAAAAGUCCAGGACCUUAGAAGAGCUUUAACAUUUAGGGUGAAAUCAGUGCCAUUCUCUCCUGGACAUGAAACCAGUUGCCUUUUCUAAAUGGUAUAGAGAUAGAAUGGUAUAGAGCCCUGAUGGCGCAGCGUGUUAAAGUGCUGAGCUGCUGAACUUGCAGACCGAAAAGUUGCAGGUUCGAAUCAGGGGAGUGGAAUGAAAGCCUGCUGUUAGCUCCAGCUAAUGCCAACCUAGCAGUUUGAAAACAUGUAAAUGUGAGUAGAUCAGUAGGUACUGCUCUGAUGGGAAGGUAAUGGCACUCCAUGCAGUCAUGCCGGCCACAUGACCUUGGAGGUGUCUAUGGACAAUGCUGGCUCUUCUGCUUAGAAAUGGAGAUGAGCACCAACCCCCAGAAUCAAACACGACUGGACUUAAUGUUAGGGGAAAACCUUUACUUUUACCUAUAGAGAUAGAGAAAAGCAUCUUGAUCUUUAAACUUAAUCAGCAAAAUGUUUUGGGUUUCACAUUUUCUCUCUUUUUUCUCUCUCACAUAGGUCCACUUGGAUAUGCCAAGAAACAUAUAGAUAAGAGACUGAUAGAUAGCAAGCCUGGAGGUGAAAGCCACUGAGUUGAUGAAUGGCAACUUCACAUGGAAAUGGCCUUUGAAGAACUAAUGGAAACAAUUCAAGACUCAAAAGAUUUUGCUUUUAUAAGUUUUUUGCAAGAGCAGCAAGUGUAUCCCAACUGGAAGAUUAAAACUCUCUGUUACCAAUGUCAA
Long non-coding RNA from Anolis carolinensis (green anole), 829 nucleotides. RefSeq lists it as uncharacterized. The transcript has 2 exons. Lineage: Eukaryota; Metazoa; Chordata; Lepidosauria; Squamata; Anolidae. The record is from RefSeq and is a predicted model, not a curated record.